Sapajus apella (tufted capuchin) is the source of this 435-nucleotide long non-coding RNA. RefSeq lists it as uncharacterized. The record is from RefSeq and is a predicted model, not a curated record. NCBI's taxonomy places the organism in Eukaryota, Metazoa, Chordata, Mammalia, Primates, Cebidae. The transcript is spliced from 2 exons.
AAUACUAACCUGCUGAAGAGCUGUCACUCCAACUUUCCAUCCUGGAAAUGUAUACAGAAGUUUACUACAAGAAGAAAAAUAGUUGAAAGCUUUUUUUUUGGAGGAAGACAAAAUCAGUUACACAUUUAAAAAAUGAAAUAAUAAUAGGUGAUAUUUAUGAAUUUCUUACUCUUCCACACAGUAUUCUGAUAAUUAAGCUAACGUCACAAGGCAAAACCUUUGGCAUAGAUAUUGACAGAUUUUAAGUUUUAACUAAACACAGACUACCCUAAGAUAAAGCAAAUAAAUUGUUAACUCUUACCUUCUGAAUAUAUGUGCCAAAUAAUAAGAAUGCUGUCAGUAUCAACAGAGAUAAUGUGGUCUCCAAAGGGUUGCAAGAGAUGGAUUUCUGCCUUAUGACCCUUAAAGGUAUGUACUAUCUACAACAUCAAAGUU